This 467-nucleotide ribosomal RNA is filed under the name uncultured bacterium. Its description in RNAcentral is "partial 16S ribosomal RNA". It matches the Rfam family "Bacterial small subunit ribosomal RNA", at positions 28 to 507 of the family's 1533-position model. The record is from RNAcentral.
GAUGAACGCUGGCGGCGUGCUUAACACAUGCAAGUCGAACGGUGAAGCAGAGCUUGCUCUGUGGAUCAGUGGCGAACGGGUGAGUAACACGUGAGCAACCUGCCCCUGACUCUGGGAUAAGCGCUGGAAACGGCGUCUAAUACUGGAUAUGAGCUGCGACCGCAUGGUCAGCAGUUGGAAAGAUUUUUCGGUCUGGGAUGGGCUCACGGCCUAUCAGCUUGUUGGUGAGGUAAUGGCUCACCAAGGCGUCGACGGGUAGCCGGCCUGAGAGGGUGACCGGCCACACUGGGACUGAGACACGGCCCAGACUCCUACGGGAGGCAGCAGUGGGGAAUAUUGCACAAUGGGCGAAAGCCUGAUGCAGCAACGCCGCGUGAGGGAUGACGGCCUUCGGGUUGUAAACCUCUUUUAGCAGGGAAGAAGCGAAAGUGACGGUACCUGCGGAAAAAGCGCCGGCUAACUACGUG